Molecule: ribosomal RNA, 497 nt
Filed under: uncultured bacterium
Lineage: Bacteria
Description: partial 16S ribosomal RNA
Rfam family: Bacterial small subunit ribosomal RNA
Source: RNAcentral
GAGGAAAGAGGGGGGCGUGCCUAAUACAUGCAAGUCGAGCGAACAGACGAGGAGCUUGCUCCUCUGACGUUAGCGGCGGACGGGUGAGUAACACGUGGAUAACCUACCUAUAAGACUGGGAUAACUUCGGGAAACCGGAGCUAAUACCGGAUAAUAUAUUGAACCGCAUGGUUCAAUAGUGAAAGACGGUUUUGCUGUCACUUAUAGAUGGAUCCGCGCCGCAUUAGCUAGUUGGUAAGGUAACGGCUUACCAAGGCAACGAUGCGUAGCCGACCUGAGAGGGUGAUCGGCCACACUGGAACUGAGACACGGUCCAGACUCCUACGGGAGGCAGCAGUAGGGAAUCUUCCGCAAUGGGCGAAAGCCUGACGGAGCAACGCCGCGUGAGUGAUGAAGGUCUUCGGAUCGUAAAACUCUGUUAUUAGGGAAGAACAAAUGUGUAAGUAACUAUGCACGUCUUGACGGUACCUAAUCAGAAAGCCACGGCUAACUACGUG